ACAACAAAACAAAUGCAGGUUUUAAAUGUUCCAGGGGAGACUGUGGCAGAUACCGAGGAUAUAGAACCAUGGCCCUAAAACCUCUAGUGUCUUCAUAGAGUCUCUGUAGACAUGCUGGUAUCUGCCGGGGACAGUGGACAAUCAUGUACAUAUCUAUAAUUCAUAUUUUAGUUGUGUCUAAGGAUGAGCUUCUGUAAGCCAUGCAUUUUGAAAACCACUCAAAGUUUUCCUCACUGUGACUUCCUCACUGUCCUUAGCCGGUAAGGUUAAGGACUGAGUUGACUUCUAAAAUACCUGCCUACACUGACUUGAAUUCACUUAAUAAAUCUGAAGAAUUAAAACUCAUUGACUCAGAUAACUCACUUCCGGUAGAAUCUGGCAAAUGAGAACUAGAUUUGGCCUGUGAUCUCAGAGGAGUAUGAAUACCACACACUGGUCAAACCUCCUUAUUUAAACUUGGCACAAAAAGCACAGACAGGAAUGGCAGAUGGGAUCAUUUGUUAUCUUUGGCACUGUUCAUCUGCCCAAUGAUGGCGGGACAGGGGAAAUCCCACAAAACAGAGCCAGUGCUGCAAUCACCUGACCACGGGGCAGAAGGAGGUGAGCUCACACUUUCCCUGAGUGGUGAGCUACAAGCAGGUUUCCUGGCUUGUUCCUUGGUUCUCUCCUCACAUCAAAGAGACUGACCAUGCAGAGCAGGUGUUUUUAGGGGACAAAACAGCCCUCCAAGAAAGCCAAAAGAUGAAUAGAUCUUUAAGUCACAAAGUCUUCACAAAAUGCAGUCCCAACUUAGAAACCAAAAUGUCAAGGAAAAAAAAGUAUAAAUAAAAUAGAAGGAUCAACUCUUCAACAUUCAUUCACAGAAGUUCCAGCCACCUGGGCCACAUAUUGGCCAUGGGAAGCAUGUGGGCAUCCUCUGGAAGAUUGCAAUCUGAGCAGUUCCAGCUCAGCCAGCCUGACUAUCCUACUGAGCAGUUAGCCUUUCUCUAACCUGAGCUACAGUCAGACCCAGGUGCGAGCGACCAUGCUACACAUCAUCAGAGCUUGCAGCUGGAUUCUGAGAUCCCCCAUGGAGAAGGAAAGAAUUUAUUUCACCAGCAUCCCAAGUUUUACUGCAUCAGUGACGUUCCCUUAAUUGUGCGAAGCCUCCAAAAGUUACAAAACAAUAUCUUAAUUAAAAAUUUUGAGAGAAAGGUCACUUUUGAUUUCAUUCAGUUACUCACUCAUUCAUUCAACACAGGUUCCUGGAAUGCCUAGAUCUACAGACACUUGGUGAGAGGUUGAAGAUGCAAUGGUGAAGAAGACAUUCUCUGCGUCCAUGGAGCUUACCAUCCAUGGGUUGCCUCAUACCACAGUCUUUACUGAGCACCAUCCACACAGUGUUCAAAGUCCUGGGACACAGCAGGGAACUAGACAGAACGUAAACAAUUUAAAAAAUAGUGUAAUUUCAGAAAUUGAUAUGUCCUAUGCAGAAAAUGAAGCAGAAGAGGUGAUGGCAGCUGCUAUUUUUAGUAGAUUGAUCACAGAAGUGAUGUUUGAGCAAAGAUCUGCAUGAUUAAAAAGUGAGUCAAGUUUCCUGUGGAAAUGCAGCCUAGGCAGAGAGAAUACAAAACACAAAGUCUGAACAAAGGACGACCAUGUAUUGUUUCCUCUAAAGCUUGGCUGCACUUUUAAGAUCAUGUGAACAAUUUCCAGCUUUGCCAUGUUCUAUUUAUUUAUUUAUUUGCUUUUAGGGCCACACCUGAGGCAUAUGGAAGCUGCAUCUCCAAGCUGCAUCUGUGACCUACACCACAC
This is a long non-coding RNA of Sus scrofa (pig), 1794 nucleotides long. RefSeq lists it as uncharacterized. Lineage: Eukaryota; Metazoa; Chordata; Mammalia; Artiodactyla; Suidae. The record is from RefSeq and is a predicted model, not a curated record.